UGUGCAGGCGGGCUGUCAAGUGGUGCAUGAAAUCGCUCGGCUUAACCGGGCGGGGUUGUGCCAGACUGGCAGUCUGGAGUGCGGGAGAGGGGCGUGGAAUUCCGGGUGUAGUGGUGAAAUGCGUAGAGAUCCGGAGGAACCCCAGAGGCGAAGGCGGCGCCCUGGCCCGACACUGACGCUCAGACACGACAGCAUGGGGAGCGAACG
This 207-nucleotide ribosomal RNA is filed under the name uncultured bacterium. RNAcentral's name for it is "partial 16S ribosomal RNA". It matches the Rfam family "Bacterial small subunit ribosomal RNA", at positions 568 to 774 of the family's 1533-position model. The record is from RNAcentral.